This 292-nucleotide ribosomal RNA is filed under the name uncultured bacterium. RNAcentral describes it as "partial 16S ribosomal RNA". It matches the Rfam family "Bacterial small subunit ribosomal RNA", at positions 505 to 796 of the family's 1533-position model. The record is from RNAcentral.
GUGUCAGCCGCCGCGGUAAGACAGAGGGGGCAAGCGUUGCUCGGAAUCACUGGGCGUAAAGGGCGCGUAGGCGGGAGGCCAAGUCGGUCGUGAAAUCCUCGGGCUCAACCCGAGGGGGUCGGCCGAAACUGGUUUUCUUGAGGGGCGCAGAGGAGCCUGGAAUUCCCGGUGUAGCGGUGAAAUGUGUAGAGAUCGGGAGGAACACCGGUGGCGAAGGCGGGGCUCUGGGCGCACCCUGACGCUGAGGCGCGAAGGCGUGGGGAGCAAACGGGAUUAGAUACCCCCGUAGUCC